UGAAUAUAAGAACCCGUCUCUUAAUUUUUAACUACAAAAGCUAAAAAUCGGCUCUUAAAUAAAAGUUUUAAAACCCGAUUCUUAGCUUUUGUAGUUAAAAGUUAAAAGACAUGUUAUUAUAUUCC
Brassica oleracea var. oleracea is the source of this 125-nucleotide microRNA precursor. It matches the Rfam family "MIR9563 microRNA precursor family". The record is from Rfam. NCBI's taxonomy places the organism in Eukaryota, Viridiplantae, Streptophyta, Magnoliopsida, Brassicales, Brassicaceae.